AGCACUACGAACGGGUGGAGCCUGCGGUUUAAUUGGAUUCAACGCCGGAAAUCUCACCGGGGCGACAGCAAUAUGAAGGUCAGGCUGAAGACCUUACCCGAUUAGCUGAGAGGUGGUGCAUGGCCGUCGUCAGUUCGUACUGUGAAGCAUCCUGUUAAGUCAGGCAACGAGCGAGACCCACGUCCACAGUUGCCAGCAUACCCUCCGGGGUGAUGGGUACACUGUGGAGACCGCCGCUGCUAAAGCGGAGGAAGGAGUGGGCAACGGUAGGUCAGUAUGCCCCGAAUCUCCCGGGCUACACGCGGGCUACAAUGGUUGGUACAAUGGGCAUCUACCCCGAAAGGGGAAGGAAAUCUCUUAAAGCCAAUCGUAGUUCGGAUUGAGGGCUGCAACUCGCCCUCAUGAAGCUGGAAUCCGUAGUAAUCGCGUUUCAACAGAACGCGGUGAAUACGUCCCUGCUCCUU
Molecule: ribosomal RNA, 464 nt
Filed under: uncultured Methanosaeta sp.
Lineage: Archaea; Methanobacteriati; Methanobacteriota; Methanomicrobia; Methanotrichales; Methanotrichaceae
Description: bacterial SSU rRNA
Rfam family: Archaeal small subunit ribosomal RNA
Source: RNAcentral